This 520-nucleotide unclassified non-coding RNA is filed under the name uncultured Glomus. RNAcentral's name for it is "SSU rRNA". It matches the Rfam family "Eukaryotic small subunit ribosomal RNA", at positions 569 to 1091 of the family's 1831-position model. The record is from RNAcentral. Lineage: Eukaryota; Fungi; Glomeromycota; Glomeromycetes; Glomerales; Glomeraceae.
AGCAGCCGCGGUAAUUCCAGCUCCAAUAGCGUAUAUUAAAGUUGUUGCAGUUAAAAGCUCGUAGUUGAAUUUCGAGAUCAAAUUGUUGGUCGUGCCUUGGUACGCACUGGCAUUAUUGGUUUCUCCCUUCUGACGAACCAUGAUGUCAUUAAUUUGGUGUCUUGGGGAAUCAGGACUGUUACUUUGAAAAAAUUAGAGUGUUUAAAGCAGGCUCACGCUUGAAUACAUUAGCAUGGAAUAAUGAAAUAGGACGUUUGAUUCUAUUUUGUUGGUUUCUAGGAUCGACGUAAUGAUUAAUAGGGAUAGUUGGGGGGCAUUAGUAUUCAAUUGUCAGAGGUGAAAUUCUUGGAUUUAUUGAAGACUAACUACUGCGAAAGCAUUUGCCAAGGAUGUUUUCAUUAAUCAAGAACGAAAGUUAGGGGAUCGAAGACGAUCAGAUACCGUCGUAGUCUUAACCAUAAACUAUGCCGACUAGGGAUCGGAUGAUGUUAAUUUUUUAAUGACUCAUUCGGCGCCUUAC